RNAcentral lists this ribosomal RNA (254 nucleotides) under uncultured bacterium. RNAcentral describes it as "partial 16S ribosomal RNA". It matches the Rfam family "Bacterial small subunit ribosomal RNA", at positions 524 to 776 of the family's 1533-position model. The record is from RNAcentral.
UACGUAGGGGGCAAGCGUUGUCCGGAUUUAUUGGGCGUAAAGAGCUCGUAGGCGGUUUGGUAAGUCUGGUGUGAAAUCUCCACGCUCAACGUGGAGGGGCCACCCGAUACUGCCAUGACUGGAGUCCGGUAGAGGAGUGUGGAAUUCCCGGUGUAGCGGUGAAAUGCGCAGAUAUCGGGAAGAACACCCGUGGCGAAGGCGGCUCUCUGGAACGCAACUGACGCUGAGACGCGAAAGCGUGGGGAGCAAACAGG